GGGGGAAGCAUUUCAGAUACGGUACCCAAUCUUCUUCAGGAAGCUACCUCGGCAGAAACUUCGAGCACAAGCUAUCCAGUCUUCCUUGACACGAUACUCUUGAUGACUUACAACACAAGCUAAGUAACCUUUGUCACGAAGGCAUCGCAUUCUCACUAGUACAAGCUAUUCCACCAACAAUUGACAGCAUAUGACCAUGCAUCUCAAGGAUCCACUCCACAACAGUUGGUCACAAGGCAAAAAGUUAGUUAGGACACAAGCCUGCUUCAGGAAUCAAGCACUCAGCCGCAUAGACCCAAUAUAUAUGAUGGACAGGUUGUCAAGGCCAUAUGAGUUAAUCAUACAAUGAUGCCAGCCCGGUGAGAAUCCAACUAUUGCAUGAGCUAUAUAAGAAGAAGAAGAAUGCCAGUUAUACAUUUCAGUGAGAUGACCAACAACCUAUGGAUAAGCUGUAAGGGACACGGAUGAACCCUUGCCUGUCUUUCUUUGGUGACGACACCACGUCUGUGUUCUGAGCUAUUUUCGUCCGUCCGGGGUGGAUGCCGAUUUUUAUUUCUCUUGUCAGCAAUUGGCCAUGUUCUGAGCUGUUUUUCGGCCGUCUCGGGAAGUUGUUGAAUUUCUUUCCGUAGUAGUGACCCUAUGCUCUGAGUUGUUUCUCGGUCGUCUUAAGGAACUGCUACUUUCUUCUUAUCGACACCAUCUCAUGCUCUGAGAUGCUUUUCAACCGUCUUGAGUCGGGGUUGAGUUACUCCAGUAAUGUCCUAGAUCUAAGUUGUAAAGACCGUUCUGGUGGCUACUGGUUGAUUUGCCAGUUUUAUCCAAGGGUUCAGACGGUCGUUACCCCACAGCUACAACUUGUUAAGUAAUAUGCCUGCUGAAAUAUUGUACCUGGCAGCACCCAUGGUCAUCCAAGGAAUCAAGAACACAUCAGGCCAAGCUCUUUCAACUAAGGAUCCAUGCAAAGAGAACUAUAACGAAGGAGCAAGAUUAGCCAUAUAGGUAUGAUAAUGGUUGCAAGAUCAACAUGGUACAAAUACUCAAAACAGUCUCGUUCGAUACCAAUCACCGAGGGUACACACCCAUGGGGUCAAUUCCAUUUGCAAGGACCCUAUAUCGAGUUAACCCGCUCAGCCCAACCAGAUAUGCUCACAGUCGUUAGAGGGGAAUACUCAGUAGUUAUAUUGCAGCAAUAGUGUUACACGACCUCCUAUUCAUUUAAAGGUGUCGAUAGACGGAACGACCAGAAUGUUGGACAACAACCUCGGAACAUGUGCCCUCACAUAUGGGAAUCAGUUAAAGGAUAACCUGUCAGUCAAGUUAGCAUACAUAAACGGAUGGAAGUCAGAGUAACAUAUGAGGAUCGAGUGAAACAAACCACCUCGAAGCCACGAAGUAAGUCAGAUAACCCAGCAGGAGCAUCAUACCAAGGCAAAAAGGAAACCUGAGUUGGAAACGGUUUCCUCAAGUGGGGAUAUUCAUGCUUGAAUCCUGAGCAACCAAAUCUCGAGGACGAGAUUUCUUUAAGGGGGUAGGUUUGUAACACCCUGGAUUUUGUCCAUUUUUUUAUUUUGGUCUCGAUUGGCUUUUCCG
This 1590-nucleotide long non-coding RNA is filed under the name Hordeum vulgare. Its description in RNAcentral is "long non-coding RNA (HVUL_LNC012564)". Lineage: Eukaryota; Viridiplantae; Streptophyta; Magnoliopsida; Poales; Poaceae. The record is from RNAcentral.